GAAAGAACAGAAAGGGUUAUUUGUUUUUUUUAAGCGGUGGUUUAUAUUUCACCUUGCAAACGGAUUGAUUUCAGGGGUCACCAUCCCAUAGUUCUUCCAAGGACUUGAAAGGUCCAUUUUCUAAUACAAAUUGUUCUCCUGGAAACAUCCUACGCUGUGGAAUCUGGCUGAUUUUCUGUGAUUCAUCCUGGCCCAGUUCCCAAUCAAAUAUUUCAAGAGGAUAAGUAUCAGUGUUUUUGAGGAUGAGCUGCAUGAGGAGGAAGAAGGGAAGACUACUAGAGAAAAGCAAACAAAACUGGAGCCAAAUGGAGACUUGCCAAAAUGAAGAUCCACGCUCAUAGCGUGGAUUUCACGCUGAUGGCGUGAAGAACCAGAAACUCCCACGCUCAUAGCGUGGAGUUCACGCUGAUGGCGUGAAACCAUCCUUUGUAACACGCUCUUUCACGCUGAUGGCGUGAUGAUUCAGAGGCAACCACGCUCUUGGCGUGGAACUGAGAGCGCCAGUUUGCGGAAAUCACAGCCCGUGCUUUUCAAGAGGGAACUUUUGGAAGAUGAAAAAGAAGAUUAUAAAAAGGAGGCUCAGCACAGAAUUAGGUAUUCUGGACCUAAGGAGACCGUCGUGCGUCAGAAGGAGAGCUCCAGAGAGAAAUUCUUGUUGUUGUUCUUCUUCUUCUUUCUCUUUUACUUUAUGUUUUUAUGAAUAUUGGAUUUUUAGCCAUGAUUAUGUUUGGCUAGUUUACUUUUUAUUGUAGUUAGGGUCACAAACUCUAUGUGAACCCUUGUUACGACGGAUUGGUUUA
Gastrolobium bilobum is the source of this 800-nucleotide long non-coding RNA. RefSeq lists it as uncharacterized. The transcript has 4 exons. The record is from RefSeq and is a predicted model, not a curated record. Lineage: Eukaryota; Viridiplantae; Streptophyta; Magnoliopsida; Fabales; Fabaceae.